Molecule: ribosomal RNA, 364 nt
Filed under: uncultured soil bacterium
Lineage: Bacteria
Description: bacterial SSU rRNA
Rfam family: Bacterial small subunit ribosomal RNA
Source: RNAcentral
GUCGAACGAGACCUUCGGGUCUAGUGGCGCACGGGUGCGUAACGCGUGGGAAUCUGCCCUUGGGUUCAGAAUAACAGUGAGAAAUUACUGCUAAUACCGGAUGAUGUCGAAAGACCAAAGAUUUAUCGCCCAGGGAUGAGCCCGCGUAGGAUUAGCUAGUUGGUGAGGUAAAAGCUCACCAAGGCGACGAUCCUUAGCUGGUCUGAGAGGAUGAUCAGCCACACUGGGACUGAGACACGGCCCAGACUCCUACGGGAGGCAGCAGUGGGGAAUAUUGGACAAUGGGCGAAAGCCUGAUCCAGCAAUGCCGCGUGAGUGAUGAAGGCCUUAGGGUUGUAAAGCUCUUUUACCCGGGNUGAUAAUG